AGCGUAGACGGUGUGGCAAGUCUGAUGUGAAAAGGCAUGGGCUCAACCUGUGGACUGCAUUGGAAACUGUCAUACUUGAGUGCCGGAGGGGUAGGCGGAAUUCCUAGUGUAGCGGUGAAAUGCGUAGAUAUUAGGAGGAACACCAGUGGCGAAGGCGGCUUACUGGACGGUAACUGACGUUGAGGCUCGAAAGCGUGGGAGCAAACA
This 207-nucleotide ribosomal RNA is filed under the name uncultured bacterium. RNAcentral's name for it is "partial 16S ribosomal RNA". It matches the Rfam family "Bacterial small subunit ribosomal RNA", at positions 568 to 774 of the family's 1533-position model. The record is from RNAcentral.